Molecule: small nuclear RNA, 107 nt
Filed under: Propithecus coquereli (Coquerel's sifaka)
Lineage: Eukaryota; Metazoa; Chordata; Mammalia; Primates; Indriidae
Source: RNAcentral
GUGCUCACUUAUGUAGCACAUACACUAAGAUUGGAAAAAUACAGAGAAGAUUCAUGUGGCUGCCACACAAGGAUGACGGCCAAAUUCGUGAAACAUUUCAUAUUUUU